This 479-nucleotide ribosomal RNA is filed under the name uncultured Atopobium sp. Its description in RNAcentral is "bacterial SSU rRNA". It matches the Rfam family "Bacterial small subunit ribosomal RNA", at positions 36 to 525 of the family's 1533-position model. The record is from RNAcentral. Lineage: Bacteria; Bacillati; Actinomycetota; Coriobacteriia; Coriobacteriales; Atopobiaceae.
CUGGCGGCGCGCCUAACACAUGCAAGUCGAACGGUUAAAAACAUCUUCGGAUGUGUAUAAAGUGGCGAACGGCUGAGUAACACUGGGCAACCUGCCCUUUGCACUGGGAUAGCCUCGGGAAACCGAGGUUAAUACCGGAUACUCCAUAUUUGUCGCAUGGCGAAUAUGGGAAAGCUCCGGCGGCAAAGGAUGGGCCCGCGGCCUGUUAGCUAGUUGGUGGGGUAGUGGCCUACCAAGGCAAUGAUGGGUAGCCGGGUUGAGAGACCGACCGGCCAGAUUGGGACUGAGACACGGCCCAGACUUCUACGGGAGGCAGCAGUGGGGAAUCUUGCACAAUGGGCGAAAGCCUGAUGCAGCGACGCCGCGUGCGGGAUGAAGGCCUUCGGGUUGUAAACCGCUUUCAGCAGGGACGAGGCCGCAAGGUGACGGUACCUGCAGAAGAAGCCCCGGCUAACUACGUGCCAGCAGCCGCGGUAAAU